Molecule: ribosomal RNA, 497 nt
Filed under: uncultured bacterium
Lineage: Bacteria
Description: partial 16S ribosomal RNA
Rfam family: Bacterial small subunit ribosomal RNA
Source: RNAcentral
GAUGAACGCUGGCGGCGUGCCUAAUACAUGCGAGUCGAGCGAACAGAUGAGGAGCUUGCUCCUCUGACGUUAGCGGCGGACGGGUGAGUAACACGUGGAUAACCUACCUAUAAGACUGGGAUAACUACGGGAAACCGGAGCUAAUACCGGAUAAUAUAUUGAACCGCAUGGUUCAAUAGUGAAAGACGGUUUUGCUGUCACUUAUAGAUGGAUCCGCGCCGCAUUAGCUAGUUGGUAAGGUAACGGCUUACCAAGGUAACGAUGCGUAGCCGACCUGAGAGGGUGAUCGGCCACACUGGAACUGAGACACGGUCCAGACUCCUACGGGAGGCAGCAGUAGGGAAUCUUCCGCAAUGGGCGAAAGCCUGACGGAGCAACGCCGCGUGAGUGAUGAAGGUCUUCGGAUCGUAAAACUCUGUUAUUAGGGAAGAACAAAUGUGUAAGUAACUAUGCACGUCUUGACGGUACCUAAUCAGAAAGCCACGGCUAACUACGUG